UACGUAGGGGGCAAGCGUUGUCCGGAUUUAUUGGGCGUAAAGAGCGUGUAGGCGGUUCGGUAGGUCCGUUGUGAAAACUCGAGGCUCAACCUCGAGACGCCGAUGGAAACCAUCAGACUAGAGUCCGGAAGAGGAGAGUGGAAUUCCUGGUGUAGCGGUGAAAUGCGCAGAUAUCAGGAAGAACACCCGUGGCUAAGGCGGCUCUCUAGUACGGUACUGACGCUGAGACGCGAAAGCGUGGGGAGCGAACAGG
Molecule: ribosomal RNA, 253 nt
Filed under: uncultured bacterium
Lineage: Bacteria
Description: partial 16S ribosomal RNA
Rfam family: Bacterial small subunit ribosomal RNA
Source: RNAcentral